Molecule: small nuclear RNA, 296 nt
Filed under: Octodon degus (degu)
Lineage: Eukaryota; Metazoa; Chordata; Mammalia; Rodentia; Octodontidae
Description: 7SK RNA (ENSODEG00000022976.1)
Rfam family: 7SK RNA
About the family: 7SK was discovered as an abundant small nuclear RNA in the mid-70s but a possible function has only recently been suggested. Two independent studies have found that 7SK RNA binds the CDK9/cyclin T complex (known as elongation factor P-TEFb).
Source: Rfam by way of RNAcentral
GGAUGUGAGGGCAAUCGGACUGUAACAUCUGUCACCCUAUCGAUUGCCAGGACUGAUGCAGCUGAUCUGGCUGAUGAGGCAGGUGUCCCAGUACUUCCCCAGUGCUCCCUGUGCGUCACCCCCAAAACUGUGUGCUUUAUCAGAGGUGGACCACCCCUGUAGAAGAGGACCAUUGCCUUGGUCAAGGAUAUAGGAGUAGCUGCACUCCCCUGCGAGAACCUCCAACAAACUCUGAGAAAGUGGUCUUUCGAAUACCUAUAUGGAAUCUGCAUAUUUUUAUGUUUAAGACCUACUAC